Molecule: long non-coding RNA, 534 nt
Organism: Colossoma macropomum (tambaqui)
Lineage: Eukaryota; Metazoa; Chordata; Actinopteri; Characiformes; Serrasalmidae
Exons: 3
Source: RefSeq, a predicted model, not a curated record
UCCUUUAGGGCAAGUACGUGACUUACCUGAGCACUCACUAACACUAAAGUUGAAGCUUGAUAGGUAUGCAGGAUUUGUGACGAUUACCAGGAAGGAUGGGGGUGUUGGUUACAGACUACACACAGGUGACGUGAAUGACAAAGGGGCAGGACAGAAACAGAAAGCAGCAGAGACAGACUCAGGAAACCAUGACAAACGUUGUUUAAGACACAUAUAAGACCAAGAAAGAUCCACAUAGAGGGCAUGAAAAGUUGCGUUUGCUAUGCCUUGUUUUGUUUUGCUUUCAUAGAAGUUGCUUUCUCGCUUCAACUUCCAAAUGAGAACAUUUUAGAGUGGAAUUGAAAGUGAAAAUUAUAAUCGCUUUAUGUCAAGAAACCACUGCCAAACAAUAUGUCCAGCACAAGCAGGAUCACACCAGAUGCAGCUCAGGAUGGUGCUACUGGGCAGAGUUGGAGCUGGAAAGAGCAAAGUGGCCAGAUUCCUCCUGGGAGACAAGCAGCUGAAGGCUGAGAUAAGAUCAUGCGUUGUUUGUGA